UACGAAGGGGGCUAGCGUUGUUCGGAAUCACUGGGCGUAAAGGGCGCGUAGGCGGCCACCGCAAGUCGGUUGUGAAAUCUCUGGGCUUAACCCAGAAAGGUCAACCGAUACUGCGGGGCUAGAGUGCAGAAGGGGCAACUGGAAUUCUCGGUGUAGCGGUGAAAUGCGUAGAUAUCGAGAGGAACACCUGCGGCGAAGGCGGGUUGCUGGGCUGACACUGACGCUGAAGCGCGAAAGCUAGGGGAGCGAACGGG
This 254-nucleotide ribosomal RNA is filed under the name uncultured bacterium. Its description in RNAcentral is "partial 16S ribosomal RNA". It matches the Rfam family "Bacterial small subunit ribosomal RNA", at positions 524 to 776 of the family's 1533-position model. The record is from RNAcentral.